Molecule: long non-coding RNA, 2585 nt
Filed under: Salmo salar (Atlantic salmon)
Lineage: Eukaryota; Metazoa; Chordata; Actinopteri; Salmoniformes; Salmonidae
Description: lncRNA (ENSSSAG00000082869.1, ENSSSAG00000117912.1)
Rfam family: UnaL2 LINE 3' element (bases 2486-2539)
Source: RNAcentral
UAACAAUAGUAUCCAGCUGCAGUCCCUCAGCAGCCUGUGACUAAGACCAGCUUGUCAAUAAAACUACUAUAUACUAGCCGUGGUUAAUCCCUACCACAUACAUGUGAACUCCUCCUUCUUCCUUUCCUUGGUCUUUCCUUGCUCCCUUUCCUUUCCUAAUUUCCUAAAUGUAUUUCCUCCUUUCCUAACUGAUUUUCCUUCCCUACCUUCAUUUCCUUCCCCUCCUUUCCUAGCUUUGUUUCCUAAUUUCCUAGAUUCCUUUCCUUCCCUACUUAUAUUUCCUCUCCUCCUUCUCUAUCUCCUUACCUUUCCUAGUUCCUUAUCUCCUUUCCCUAGGUCCCUUUUCCUAGGUCCCCUUUCCUAGAUUCCUUUCCUUGCUCCCUUUGCUUUCCUCCUUUCCUAGCUUAAUUUCCUCCUAUCCUUCCCUACUUCCAUGUCCUCGCCUCUCUCCUUAUCUCCCUUUCCUUUUCUAGCUCCUUUUCACAUUUCCUAGCUCCUUUGCUUUUUUUCCUUUCCUAGCUUGCUUUCCUUUCUUAGCUUCCUUUCCUCUUUUCCUAGCUUCCUUUUCCUCUCCUCCUUCCCUACCUUCCUUUUCUACUUUCCUAGCUUCCUUUCCUUUCUUACCUAGCUCCCCUUCCUGCUUCCUUUAAUUUCCUCCUUUUCUUUCUUAGAUGAAUUUCCUCCUUCCCUAGCUCCCUUUCUUUUCCGCCUUUCCUACAGUAGCUUCCUUUCCUCCUUUCCCAGGAUUAUCUCAGGCAGUAGAGAGGAAAGGGAGAUAGGAAAGGGAGCUAGGAAAAUAAUUGGGAUAAGGAAAGGGAGAUGAGGAAGCUAGGAAGGAAGACAAAAAAAGGGAAUGAGGAAAGGAAUCUAGGAAAGAAAGGAGUAAAGAAAAUAACUAGAAGCUAGAAUAGGAGUAAAUGAGCUAGGAAAAGAAAGAUAGAUAGGAAAGGAGGAAAGGAAGCUAGGAAAGGAGGAAAGGAAGCUAUGAAAGCAGGCAAAAAAUGUAGUGAGGAAAGGAAUAUAUGAAAGAAAAGGAGGAGUUCACAUGUAUAUGGUAGGGAUUAACCACUAGUAGAGAGGAAAUUAAGUUAGGAAAGGAAGUCCGGAAAGGAAAGAGCGGAGGAAUGUAGGAAAAGAAAAAGAGCUAGGAAAAGAGUAAAGGAAAGGGAGCAAGGAAAGGAAUCUAGUAAAAAAAGUAGGAGUUCACAUGUAAAGGUAACUGCCAAAAUAAAGGAAACACCAACAUAACAUGUCUUAAUAUGGUGUUGGGUCACCACGAGCCGCCAGAACAAGCUUCAGCCAGAACCUUGGCAUAGAUUCUACAACUGUCUGGAACUCUAUUGGAGGGAUGCGACACCAUACUUCCACAAGAAAUUCCAUAAUUUGGUGUUUUGUUGAUGGUGGUGGAGCGCCGCUCCAGAAUCUCCCAUAAAUGUUCAAUUGGGUUGAGAUCUGGUGACUGAGACACACACACACACACACACACACAGUUACCUGUAUGUGGUAGGGAUUAAAUACGGCCAGUAGAGAGGAAAAGAAUGCAAGAUGGAAAAUAAAUUACAAAAGGAAGAAAAUAAUCUAGGAAAUGAAAGGAGUUCACAUGUAUGUGGUAGGGAUUAACCGCGGCCAGUAGAUGGUGAUAGUAUUGGUUUUAGUGACAGGCUAGGUUUAUUCACAGGCUGCUGUGGGGCUGCAGCUGGAUGCAUCUCAAUAUUUUAUCUGACAGGUCACAAAUGGUACCUUGUUUCUGGUGCAUAUAUGUCAUGACACUCGUUUGCUACAGCACCUUGCUGCAACAACUGUCAAUUUUGUUUCAAAGUUUGAUCACCUCAUUGUAAAGAGUUACACAGUAGAAACGGCAAAUAUCGUCUCGUCUUCUUGAUCUGAAUUUCCCCGUCUUUAGUCAGCCGUUGUUGUUGAUGUAACAUAGAAACUAAAUCCGGGACACUCCAAUUAGUCUGAUAAGUUAGGUUUUGUAUGGCAGCCAAGUGGACACAAGGUUGUUUGGCUCAUCUCAGUUGCGAAGAGGAAGAACUUUGCAGCUGUUUCUGAUUAAUAAACAAUGCCAUGCUGGUGGGUGUUAACAAUGAAAUAAAACCCUGAAAUGAAAUGUAAACUAAAAAGAAUUUGUAUGACAUAUCAUAGAAAAAGACAACACAUUCACACAGAUUUGCACAGAGUGGGCCAUUCGGAUUUGGCUCUUCAAGCCCAAACACACUGAGUUUACAAAACAUUAGAAACACCCUCCUAAUAUUGAGUUGCAUCCCCUUUUGCCCUCAGAACAGCAUCAAUACGUUGGGGCAUGGACUCUACAAGGUGUCGAAAGCGUUCCAUAGGGGUGCUGACCCAUGUUGACUCCAAUGCUUCCCACAGUUGUGUCAAGGUCCCGUGUGGCUCAGUUGGCAGAGCAUGGUGUUUACAACGCUAGGGUUGUGGGUUUGAUUCCCACGGGGGACCAGUACGGUGGAAAAAAUGAUGAAAUGUAUGCACUCACUACUGUAAGUCGCUCUGAAUAAGAGCAUCUGCUAAAUUACUGAAAUGUAAGUUGGUGGACUUUGGGUGGUGGACUAUUCUUGAUACACACG